UACAGAGGGUGCAAGCGUUAAUCGGAAUGAUUGGGCGUAAAGGGCGUAUAGGCGGUAAGAGAAGUUGGAUGUGAAAUAUCUGGGCUUAACCUGGAAACGGCAUCCAAAACUGACUUACUAGAGUUCAGCAGAGGGAAGUGGAAUUUCCAGUGUAGCGGUGAAAUGCGUAGAUAUUGGAAGGAACACCAGAGGCGAAGGCGGCUUUCUGGGCUGAAACUGACGCUAAAGCGCGAAAGCAUGGGGAGCAAACAGGAUUAGAUACCCCCGUA
This 269-nucleotide ribosomal RNA is filed under the name uncultured prokaryote. Its description in RNAcentral is "partial 16S ribosomal RNA". It matches the Rfam family "Bacterial small subunit ribosomal RNA", at positions 524 to 792 of the family's 1533-position model. The record is from RNAcentral.